UACGUAGGUGGCAAGCGUUAUCCGGAUUUACUGGGUGUAAAGGGAGCGCAGGCGGCACGGCAAGCCUGAUGUGAAAGCCCGCGGCCCAACCGCGGGACUGCAUUGGGAACUACCGGGCUGGAGUGCCGGAGAGGUAGGCGGAAUUCCUAGUGUAGCGGUGAAAUGCGUAGAUAUUAGGAGGAACACCAGUGGCGAAGGCGGCCUACUGGACGGUGACUGACACUGAGGCUCGAAAGCGUGGGGAGCAAACAGG
This 253-nucleotide ribosomal RNA is filed under the name uncultured bacterium. RNAcentral describes it as "partial 16S ribosomal RNA". It matches the Rfam family "Bacterial small subunit ribosomal RNA", at positions 524 to 776 of the family's 1533-position model. The record is from RNAcentral.